CCAACAGGGAUUGCCUUAGUAACGGCGAGUGAAGCGGCAAAAGCUCAAAUUUGAAAUCUGGCACCUUCGGUGUCCGAGUUGUAAUUUGAAGAAGGUAACUUUGGAGUUGGCUCUUGUCUAUGUUCCUUGGAACAGGACGUCACAGAGGGUGAGAAUCCCGUGCGAUGAGAUGCCCAAUUCUAUGUAAAGUGCUUUCGAAGAGUCGAGUUGUUUGGGAAUGCAGCUCUAAGUGGGUGGUAAAUUCCAUCUAAAGCUAAAUAUUGGCGAGAGACCGAUAGCGAACAAGUACAGUGAUGGAAAGAUGAAAAGAACUUUGAAAAGAGAGUGAAAAAGUACGUGAAAUUGUUGAAAGGGAAGGGCUUGAGAUCAGACUUGGUAUUUUGCGAUCCUUUCCUUCUUGGUUGGGUUCCUCGCAGCUUACUGGGCCAGCAUCGGUUUGGAUGGUAGGAUAAUGACUAAGGAAUGUGGCUCUACUUCGGUGGAGUGUUAUAGCCUUGGUUGAUACUGCCUGUCUAGACCGAGGACUGCGUCUUUGACUAGGAUGCUGG
This 548-nucleotide ribosomal RNA is filed under the name Debaryomyces fabryi. RNAcentral describes it as "eukaryotic LSU rRNA". It matches the Rfam family "Eukaryotic large subunit ribosomal RNA", at positions 65 to 629 of the family's 3401-position model. The record is from RNAcentral. Lineage: Eukaryota; Fungi; Ascomycota; Pichiomycetes; Serinales; Debaryomycetaceae.